This 784-nucleotide long non-coding RNA is filed under the name Marmota monax (woodchuck). Lineage: Eukaryota; Metazoa; Chordata; Mammalia; Rodentia; Sciuridae. The record is from RNAcentral.
UUUUCUAGCUUUCUGGCCCCACCUACUAAGAACAGGCCUCCCUGGGGGUAUGGCUUCCAAAGACUCCUUUUCUCUUCAUUUGCCAUGCCUGCAUCCAGUAACUGUGCCUCACAAUAGCAAACGAUGGUGCUGGAGGACCCCACUGGGGCCUGAGCCCCAGGAGCUCCCCUUGUAAUGCAAAGCAGCAGAAACUCCAGGCAAGACCAACUGAACCCUUAGAAGCAGGCACGGUGGGAACAAACAGGCUGGGGGAACAGGACACAGGGGUCCACAUCACCUGAUUGCCUUGAGGGCCCAGAAGGAGAUGGGCAAGGACCUCAGGACCACUGUGAAGUUCUGAACCAUGGCUAGGCGAGCUAGACUCUUCUAUAGUAGACCCAUUUUUGAAAGCAUGGUCUGCAGGCCCAUCUGAGAUGAACUUGAAAAUGGGGUUUUCUUACACUUAACAGGUUAGAAUGGGAAUUUCCUUGUUUAAGAAAUAGCCUCUGUGAUCCUCAGUUAGAGGUCCAUUUUCUGACCUUCAUCCUUACUGCCUGCUAUUCCACAUCCUCCCAGGAAACUGUUCUCCCCAAGAUCACCACUAGCUCCUAGAGCUCCUCUGUGGUCCUUCCUGCUUUCUUGGCUUCCUGCUGAACUUGGCUCCACAGACAUCCAACUUCUGGCCCAGAGCAGGUCUUUGACACAUAUGUUUGAAAGCAAGGAUCUCUGCUCCAGCUCAUCUCUCUCCUUCACAAAACAUCCUUGUCCUUGCCUUUCCAUUCAAAGGUCUGCUGGCCAUAGGUCC